RNAcentral lists this ribosomal RNA (445 nucleotides) under uncultured bacterium. RNAcentral's name for it is "partial 16S ribosomal RNA". It matches the Rfam family "Bacterial small subunit ribosomal RNA", at positions 354 to 796 of the family's 1533-position model. The record is from RNAcentral.
GUGAGGAAUAUUGGACAAUGGGCGCAAGCCUGAUCCAGUCAUGCCGCGUGCAGGAAGACGCAUCUAUGGUGUGUAAACUGCUUUUGUACGGGAAGAAACACUCCCUCGUGAGGGAGCUUGACGGUACCGUAAGAAUAAGGAUCGGCUAACUCCGUGCCAGCAGCCGCGGUAAUACGGAGGAUCCAAGCGUUAUCCGGAAUCAUUGGGUUUAAAGGGUCCGUAGGCGGUUUAAUAAGUCAGUGGUGAAAGCCCAUCGCUCAACGAUGGAACGGCCAUUGAUACUGUUAGACUUGAAUUACAAGGAAGUAACUAGAAUAUGUAGUGUAGCGGUGAAAUGCUUAGAUAUUACAUGGAAUACCAAUUGCGAAGGCAGGUUACUACUUGUGGAUUGACGCUGAUGGACGAAAGCGUGGGGAGCGAACAGGAUUAGAAACCCGAGUAGUCC